RNAcentral lists this ribosomal RNA (301 nucleotides) under uncultured bacterium. Its description in RNAcentral is "partial 16S ribosomal RNA". It matches the Rfam family "Bacterial small subunit ribosomal RNA", at positions 509 to 807 of the family's 1533-position model. The record is from RNAcentral.
CAGCCGCCGCGGGAAUACGUAGGUGGCAAGCGUUGUCCGGAAUUAUUGGGCGUAAAGGGCUCGCAGGCGGUUUCUUAAGUCUGAUGUGAAAGCCCCCGGCUCAACCGGGGAGGGUCAUUGGAAACUGGGAAACUUGAGUGCAGAAGAGGAGAGUGGAAUUCCACGUGUAGCGGUGAAAUGCGUAGAGACGUGGAGGAACACCAGUGGCGAAGGCGACUCUCUGGUCUGUAACUGACGCUGAGGAGCGAAAGCGUGGGGAGCGAACAGGAUUAGAUACCCCAGUAGUCCCUGUCUCUUAUAC